This 466-nucleotide ribosomal RNA is filed under the name Vreelandella stevensii. RNAcentral describes it as "partial 16S ribosomal RNA". It matches the Rfam family "Bacterial small subunit ribosomal RNA", at positions 338 to 795 of the family's 1533-position model. Lineage: Bacteria; Pseudomonadati; Pseudomonadota; Gammaproteobacteria; Oceanospirillales; Halomonadaceae. The record is from RNAcentral.
CCUACGGGUGGCUGCAGUGGGGAAUAUUGGACAAUGGGCGAAAGCCUGAUCCAGCCAUGCCGCGUGUGUGAAGAAGGCCUUCGGGUUGUAAAGCACUUUCAGUGGGGAAGAAAGCCUUGGGGCUAAUACCCUCGAGGAAGGACAUCACCCACAGAAGAAGCACCGGCUGAACUCCGUGCCAGCAGCCGCGGUAAUACGGAGGGUGCGAGCGUUAAUCGGAAUUACUGGGCGUAAAGCGCGCGUAGGCGGUCUGAUAAGCCGGUUGUGAAAGCCCCGGGCUCAACCUGGGAACGGCAUCCGGAACUGUCAGGCUAGAGUGCAGGAGAGGAAGGUAGAAUUCCCGGUGUAGCGGUGAAAUGCGUAGAGAUCGGGAGGAAUACCAGUGGCGAAGGCGGCCUUCUGGACUGACACUGACGCUGAGGUGCGAAAGCGUGGGUAGCAAACAGGAUUAGAUACCCGGGUAGUC